GUAGUCAUAUGCUUGUCUCAAAGACUAAGCCAUGCAUGUCUAAGUAUAAAUAACUACACAGUAAAACUGCGAAUGGCUCAUUAAAACAGUUAUAGUUUAUUUGAUACAUUAAAUGGAUAACUGUAGAAAAACUAGAGCUAAUACAUGCCGAGACCACAAGGUUGUAUUUAUUAGAUAUUGUAAUUAAGAUGAAUCAUAAUAACUUCACAAAUCUCGAUAUCAUCGAGAUAAAUCAUCCAAGUUACUGCCCUAUCAGCUUUCGAUGGUAGUGUAUUGGACUACCAUGGCUUUCACGGGUAACAGGGAAUUAGGGUUCGAUUCUGGAGAAGGAGCCUGAGAAACGGCUACUACAUCUACGGAAGGCAGCAGGCGCGUAAAUUACCCAAUCCUGACUCAGGGAGGUGGUGACAAGAUAUAACGACCCGAUUAAUGUCGUGAUUGUAGUGAGGAUAUUCCAAACAGAAUCACAAGAACGAUUAGAGGGCAAGUCUGGUGCCAGCAGCC
RNAcentral lists this ribosomal RNA (504 nucleotides) under uncultured rumen protozoa. RNAcentral's name for it is "SSU rRNA". It matches the Rfam family "Eukaryotic small subunit ribosomal RNA", at positions 20 to 575 of the family's 1831-position model. The record is from RNAcentral.